GAGGGGCAGUCACAAUGGUACUGCUGAACAGGCUCCUGGGAGGACUAAAUUCAUUCCACCGGAGACAGAAGUGUGGCCCGGAGACUCAGGGAUGCACGUUUGGUCUGCAGUGAGCAGGCGACAGAGCAGGGCCCGUGAUGCGCCACAUGCUUCCCGCAAGCAUUUGAUUCCCUGGAGCCCCCACCCCAGAGCCCAGCACAGGCCCUGCAGGCAUCAUCUGACUUCCCUGCUAAUCCCUCCCCUGUGGACUUGCCCUGAGAUUUCCAAGCUGCCAGGCGUGCGGGCUCCUGGCCACCAGAGAUUGCAGUCGACACUGAGGCUGUCAGCGUCCACGCGCCAACGCUGUGGCAGGUGCUGACAUCCUCGCUUCUAUGUUGAGAGCAUUUCAUGGAGCCUCGCUUGCACUCUGGGAACAACUUGAGAAGACCCAGUGCUUGUCCUCAGGGAGCUCCUUUUCCAGGAAGCACAGUGAAUACACAGAAGUCCCCAGAGAACAUCCUUGAUGAGUACAGGGUCCAUGUGAGACUCAGUGGUUUGGCCAGGACCGUUCACAUAACUGAGCUCUUGGCACUUCCUGAUCCCAGCAGCCCCUGGAGGGGACGUGUCUCGCUGAUGCGGUGUAUCAAGCCCCCUCUGCAGCUUGGCCUGGCUGAGUGACACCGAGCCAAGGGUGCGGUGUCAUCUCCAGACUUCGAACCCCAGCCUGCUCAGCCCCAUUCCACACCAGCGACCUGCCCAGAGGAGGGCCCUGGCCUGAUGUCCUCUGAUACACUUCGGGAUAACCACCUGCUUGGCAUGCAUUUCCGCUGCUUAAAGCCAAGCCUGAGACGGCGGCCCUCCCCAGCAGAGCUGAGCUCCCCAAAGAUAAGAUGAAUGUCUGCAGGCUGCAGAGCUGAGAUGUUCUGGAGGAAGUGGAAGAGGAGGAAGAAGGAAUAAACACCCGUCACAUUAAUAAGAGUUUGGAAGAAGCAAGGGGCUGAAGCCAGGAGUCUCCAGAUGGUGUUUAGUGAAAUGACAGUUUGAUGCUUAAGAGGAAAAAUGGAACCAUGCCUCAUCCAGACUGGGAAGGCUUCCUGGAGAAGGUGAUGUCUAGGUUGAACUGGGAACGCUGACCAAGGAUUUGCCUGGCAAAGAGCCUGGGAUACAGGAGAAGACCAGGCAAAGGUAAGCAACAGAACAGAUCAUGGAGUGUGAAGCCGCAAGGGAGAGGGGGGUACCUCAGGAGUGUCGGAGGGGUCCUGGAUCCCAGUGGCAAGCGGAAUGGUAAUAGAAAGGAGCUGGGCAAGGCUAAGAGUCCGAGAAGGCUGGAUAAGGGCCUGGAUGUCACCUGGCAGUGGUGAAGAGUCAGAGAGGGUUGCUCACCCGGAGUGUGGAUGCAUGAAUCCGCCCCCCCAUUCCCUUGUCCACAUCUGGUAUCAUCGGGGGUGGUCAGAAAGCUUCUCCAGGGCUUGCCUGCUGUGGUGCCUGAAAUUCUGCCCUCAGAGCCCUCUUCAUGUGGGUUCAGCAGAGCACGCACUUAGCAUCCACCUUUGAUAGUUACAGACACCUUCUCUGCGCUCCCCUGGGGGGCAGGAGAAGCGGCCAGACCCUGGUGGUGGUGAGGGGCCAUCUCACCCGACCAGGAAUAGCUCUACUGGGGGGACUUUGGGCAGAGCCAGGUGGGCAGCAGCUCUGCUUGUUAGCACCGGGGAGCCACGGCUCUGGGAUCAUCGGUCUGGCAGCGUCCUGGCCACUGCGGCCAGGCUGGAGCCGGGGGCCCUGGUGGGCAGGCAGGGAAGGGGCGGGGGAGACCAGGGAGAGGGCGAGGCAAGGAGAGUCAAGGAGGAGUUCCAGGCUUCUGAAUCCAUUCUGUUUCGAUUUCCCCCAAGUCACACAGCUGCCAGGGUUCAGACAGAUGCUGUGAUUAGCAUUUUAAUGCAUUUCAGAGGACCUUGUCCAAACUGCUCUGAAAAUCAGAAAUCAAGAGUUUAUCUUCAGCUGUCCCUGUAGAGCUGCAUUCCCUUCCAGCGCCAAGAGAGCCCGAGGAAGAGCGUGCGUGCACACGUACAUCUGUGUGCCCAUGCAUGGCUGCGUGCACGGACACCUGUGUGUGCACGUUUCCCCGUGUGGGUUUCCAUGUGCGCCUUCCUCUGGUGUGUGUACAUAGCUUUGUGCACACACAUGCCGUGAACCCUGGCGUGUGUGCGUGUCUGAGUGUGAAGUGUGGGCGUGUAUCUGCAUCUGCGGGCACAUGUACGUUCUGCACACGUGUGCUUGUUCUACACGUGCCUUUGCAAGUGCGACUCCAUCGGGGAUCAUUCACGUGGAAGAGGCAGAGCUGGAUGCUGGCUGAAAACAGGUCAGCGCUGAGUGACUCGGGCUGUCAGGGCGUCUGGGCCUCAGGUAAUGGGAAAUGCAUUUCCAAUGCGGCUGCGGCUGCCUGGCCGGAUCCCAAAGCCGUGUUUUCAAACAAUACAGGCAAGCGGCAUUUUUAAGCAAUGUGGAGCUCCUGCAGUUUGAAUCCCGCUCCCUUGGACGGGGCUAGUAUCCCGGGCCCAGCAUGGAGAGGUUUCUGGAGCCCCAGACGGGGAAUGGGGCAGCUGCAACUGGGUCAGCGGAGCGUGGGACUGGGAAGCCAGGAGCCCCUCAUGACGCAUCCUGUGUGGGGUGGCUCCCGUCAGCCUCUCUUCCUGCUUCCCAAGGUUCUCCUCCUGCCACCCCAAUCUGGCUACACUUCGCAUCUGCCAAGGCUGCCCUGCAUCCGGCUGGGUGUCGCCGGCCUUUCAACUAGCUUCAGGUGGAAGGCACUCUUUCUCCUUUCCUUGUCAUCCUCCCUGGAUACACUACCCACCCCCAAACCCCAGGGGAUGUGUAUCUCUCAGCCCCAAACACAGCUUUCUAGGACCAUCUUCCCAGCCAAGGGGAAGGCACCUGUUUGCCUCCCAAGCCUGCAUCAGCUUUUAGGGACCUAGGUGGCACCCCUGGCUCCUUUGUUUGGAGUCAACUGAAACUUCAGAUCUUUGAUCCCUGCCAGGUCAGCUUCCCUCUGCUCAGUGUCACCAGGCAGGGGUAUCCACCUUUAGUCUUGGGGGCCCCUCAGGGUUGCCCUGGACUCAACCUGGAUAGUGCAGACAAGUAAAUGGGAGUUGGGGGAUGCAUUCGAUGGAAGGGGGGCAAGGAAGCAGCAGACAGUUCCUUGUGAAUUUGUUUAAUGUAAAUACAUCCUCUAUUUAUCUUUAGCUGUUAAUAAAUUCAUGCAUUAUUAGAAAAUCCCUCAUACCAGCAGACCCGCUGCGUUAGAUCAGCUCGUUUUGAGAGAUUUCCUGUUGGCAGGAUUCAAAGCCCGCACCUGCAGCCGGCCCAGGCACAAGGAUUUAACUGAACGCCACAGAUAAUUAGAUCAGUUAACCUCACAAAUUAAAACAAGCACAUCGUAUUAGCUCAGUUUAUCCUAAAAGAAAAUAUUAAGUUCCCCCAGAUAAAUCGUUUAAUAAGAAUAGAGGAAGAUGGCACAUACUGUCUUCCCGGACCUGUGGGCAGGAGGCAGGGAGGGCUCACGUGGCCGCCAGAGAGUCAGUUUGCCUCCAUGGAGUGAUGGGUGACAGACUGGGCUCUUGCCCCCCGAUCUAGCAGUGGCUGGAAGUGUCUGAAGAAGCCUCAGGCAGGGUGCUAGCUGAAGCACACAGGACAACACAAAGCUCCAUGAGUUCUGAAAGGCACGAGGGGCGUCAGUGGGAGCUGCCCUACUGUGCCACCUCGUAAUGCAGCACAAUCCCCAGGGGAACCCUGGGGGUAAUUUAGGGAAUGUGGGUUCACUCCAUCCAGAGAGGCCUCCAGGAGGGGCUACGACCCAGCUGCAAGUUCCUUCCACCCGCAAGGUGUUUACCACUUGAGUUGGUCUCAGUCUUUGAAAAUUUUGAACUCUCUACAUCAGAUAAGGGAAAGAACUCAGUCUUUGCAAAAUCUAUGGUGCAAAAAAUUUUGAUCAGCAAAUAAAUAGUGCAGUCAACACCAUUGUCUGCAGGAAUAUGUCAUCUACCUAGGAGAACGGCAGCGUUUGCAAGUGGCUUCCUGGUACUCCCUGUCACACCAUCACUGUGCAAAUUACACAUGCUUUGUAUCUGUUCAUUAAAGCAGGCUUGGCAGGACA
Long non-coding RNA from Canis lupus familiaris (dog), 4129 nucleotides. RefSeq lists it as uncharacterized. The transcript has 6 exons. The record is from RefSeq and is a predicted model, not a curated record. Lineage: Eukaryota; Metazoa; Chordata; Mammalia; Carnivora; Canidae.